RNAcentral lists this transfer RNA (72 nucleotides) under Heterocephalus glaber (naked mole-rat). It matches the Rfam family "tRNA". Rfam says of the family: Transfer RNA (tRNA) molecules are approximately 80 nucleotides in length. The record is from Rfam by way of RNAcentral. Lineage: Eukaryota; Metazoa; Chordata; Mammalia; Rodentia; Bathyergidae.
GGGGAUAUGGCUCAGUGGCACUGUGUCUGCCUGGGAAGCACAAGGUCCUGAGUUCCAGUCCUGGUAUCACCC